RNAcentral lists this ribosomal RNA (301 nucleotides) under uncultured bacterium. RNAcentral describes it as "partial 16S ribosomal RNA". It matches the Rfam family "Bacterial small subunit ribosomal RNA", at positions 509 to 808 of the family's 1533-position model. The record is from RNAcentral.
CAGUCGCCGCGGUAAUACGUAGGUGGCAAGCGUUGUCCGGAAUUAUUGGGCGUAAAGCGCGCGUAGGUGGUUAAUAAGUCUGAUGUGAAAGCCCACGGCUCAACCGUGGAGGGUCAUUGGAAACUGUUAAACUUGAGUGCAGGAGAGAAAAGUGGAAUUCCUAGUGUAGCGGUGAAAUGCGUAGAGAUUAGGAGGAACACCAGUGGCGAAGGCGGCUUUUUGGCCUGUAACUGACACUGAGGCGCGAAAGCGUGGGGAGCAAACAGGAUUAGAUACCCCUGUAGUCCCUGUCUCUUAUACA